UAAGGUGUAGCUCAUUGGAAGAGCAUGUGUUUUUGCAUGUACAAGCCCCUGGGUUCAAUCCCUAGCACCAAAA
Non-coding RNA from Ictidomys tridecemlineatus (thirteen-lined ground squirrel), 73 nucleotides. The record is from Rfam. Lineage: Eukaryota; Metazoa; Chordata; Mammalia; Rodentia; Sciuridae.